Long non-coding RNA from Oncorhynchus kisutch (coho salmon), 1444 nucleotides. RefSeq lists it as uncharacterized. NCBI's taxonomy places the organism in Eukaryota, Metazoa, Chordata, Actinopteri, Salmoniformes, Salmonidae. The record is from RefSeq and is a predicted model, not a curated record. The transcript is spliced from 2 exons.
UAUAGCUUCCGUUCCUCUCGCCCCUUCCAAGGCUUCCAGGGAGCCUCUGCACAUAUCAACAACUGACACCCACAAAACACCGUAACCCAUCGCUCCAUAAAAGCCGCAGCCCUUGUCUGCAAGGGGAACAACUACUUCAAGGUCUCAGAGCGAGUGACGUCACCGAUUGAAACGCUAUUAGCGCGCACCCCGCUAACCAGCACGCCAUUUCACAUCGGUUACAAGAGCAUAUGAGCUUCUUUGUUUCUAGACUCUGUCAUAUCCUGCUGCUGAGCUCUGGUAAUUAUUGGCCACAUUCCCAGCAGCGCAGGGUCAUGGCUGGAAGGGAUCCAGCUUUUGUCAAAUUAACUGUAAAAGUAUUUUUUAAAGGAUUUUACCUAACCUUAACUUAAUUCUCCUAACCUGCUGUGUUAAUUCUCCUAACCUGCUAUGUUAAUUAUACUAACCUGCUAUGUUAAUUAUACUAACCUGCUAUGUUAAUUAUACUAACCUGCUGUGUUAAUUAUACUAACCUGCUAUGUUAAAUAUACUAACCUGCUGUGUUAAUUAUACUAACCUGCUAUGUUAAUUAUACUAACCUGCUAUGUUAAUUAUCCUAACCUGCUAUGUUAAUUAUACUAACCUGCUAUGUUAAUUAUACUAACCUGCUAUGUUAAUUAUACUAACCUGCUAUGUUAAUUAUACUAACCUGCUAUGUCAAUUAUAUUAACCUUCUAUGUUAAUUAUACUAACCUGCUGUGUUAAUUAUACUAACCUGCUGUGUUAAUUAUACUAACCUGCUAUGUUAAUUAUACUAACCUGCUGUGUUAAUUAUACUAACCUGCUGUGUUAAUUAUACUAACCUGCUAUGUUAAUUCUCCUAACCUGCUAUGUUAAUUCUCCUAACCUGCUGCGUAAGUUCUAACCUGCUACGAAAAGUCAAAUCGGACUUUAAUUUGACAAAAGCUGGAUCCCUUUUAGUCAUGACCGCAGCGCAGCCUCCUGGGGCUGAUUUAGCCAAUGUUCCCACCCAGGAAUCCUGGACGUCUGACAGCAACCAGGCCAGACUCUCUUUCAAGUCCACACUCCGUCAGCCUCUCCCGGGCCGUGGCCCAGAGUCCGCCCUCCCUCCCAAGGCUGUCUCCCAUCUUUAUGGAGCGCCCAGAAAAACAGCCACUCUCCCUCCUAAAUAACAAUUUCUUGAAACUGCCUGCCACACCCAAUUUUCUUUCUUUCCCUCCCUGACCUCUCCUGCCCCUUAUGGUCACCCCUAACAUUUCACACAACAGAAAUCUUUCUCAUGUUAGUCUGGAAGCAGUUAAAACCAUGCUGUUAGAUGUGAAGGCCAAGGUUAAAUGGGGAAAGUUUAAUGGAAACAUUUCCAUAGCGCUUUUUCAUGUUGAAACAAGUAUUUUUUUAGACUUUGUUAGAGCAUGUUUGGAUUAAAUAUCAGUUUUCAAUUCCA